This 73-nucleotide transfer RNA is filed under the name Thermoplasmata archaeon. RNAcentral describes it as "tRNA-Trp". It matches the Rfam family "tRNA". From Rfam's summary of the family: Transfer RNA (tRNA) molecules are approximately 80 nucleotides in length. Their secondary structure includes four short double-helical elements and three loops (D, anti-codon, and T loops). RNAcentral also lists the same sequence under 1 other name. The record is from RNAcentral. Lineage: Archaea; Methanobacteriati; Thermoplasmatota; Thermoplasmata.
GGGGGUUUGGGGUAGUCCGGUAUCCUCGCGGGCUCCAGACCCGCUGAUGUGGGUUCAAAUCCCACAACCCCCA